UUCUACCAAUAAAUCUCAAUUUUUGUGUCAGGUUGAAGAGGUUGACUCUUCCCGAUAGAGGAAGACCAGUCCUUGGUCAAGGGUAUAGGAGUAGCUGCACUCCCUACUAGAACCUCUAAAGAAGCUCUCAAUUUUUUGUCUCAAUUCUUUAGAAAACU
Molecule: small RNA, 158 nt
Filed under: Octodon degus (degu)
Lineage: Eukaryota; Metazoa; Chordata; Mammalia; Rodentia; Octodontidae
Description: 7SK RNA (ENSODEG00000022320.1)
Rfam family: 7SK RNA
About the family: 7SK was discovered as an abundant small nuclear RNA in the mid-70s but a possible function has only recently been suggested. Two independent studies have found that 7SK RNA binds the CDK9/cyclin T complex (known as elongation factor P-TEFb). P-TEFb activates transcription by phosphorylating the C-terminal domain of RNA polymerase II.
Source: RNAcentral